Molecule: long non-coding RNA, 480 nt
Organism: Portunus trituberculatus (swimming crab)
Lineage: Eukaryota; Metazoa; Arthropoda; Malacostraca; Decapoda; Portunidae
Exons: 2
Source: RefSeq, a predicted model, not a curated record
CACAAAGACUAUAUCUAUCAAGGUUUUAUUACAUGAACAAACACACACUCUCCUCUCUCUCUCUCUCUCUCUCUCUCUCUCUCUCUCUCUCUCUCUCUCUCUCUCUCUCUCUCUCUCUCUCACUCAAAGAUCACGUGACAUUAAGCAUUAUAUAAGACACAACAACAAUUUUCCACCUCAGUUACCCGCCAGCUUUCAGAGGGAGAGGACGCCGCCCCCCCUUCUCUCCUCCCUCCUGCCCCCUCACGCUACCUAUCAGCUGUUGUCUCGAGUGUUUUCGCUGAGUGUCGCUACAAAAACAGAGCGGUAGCAGCAGUAGACCUUUCAAGAUGACUCCUGAUAACACAAUAACGAAGCGAGUCACUGCUAACGGCGCCAUUCACAACGGGGCGCUCAGAAACACCACCAACAAGAUCAAGAGCAAGAUUAAUGGCAGUCUUUCCAACGGGGCUACCAAUGGCGUCGCUUUGAAUGGGGAAC